RNAcentral lists this ribosomal RNA (253 nucleotides) under uncultured bacterium. Its description in RNAcentral is "partial 16S ribosomal RNA". It matches the Rfam family "Bacterial small subunit ribosomal RNA", at positions 524 to 776 of the family's 1533-position model. The record is from RNAcentral.
UACGUAGGGUGCAAGCGUUGUCCGGAAUUAUUGGGCGUAAAGCGCUCGUAGGCGGUUUGUUGCGUCGGCUGUGAAAUCCCGAGGCUCAACCUCGGGUCUGCAGUCGAUACGAGCAAACUAGAGUGUUGCAGGGGAGACUGGAAUUCCUGGUGUAGCGGUGAAAUGCGCAGAUAUCAGGAGGAACACCGGUGGCGAAGGCGGGUCUCUGGGCCUUACCUGACGCUGAGGAGCGAAAGCUGGGGGAGCGAACAGG